This 253-nucleotide ribosomal RNA is filed under the name uncultured bacterium. RNAcentral's name for it is "partial 16S ribosomal RNA". It matches the Rfam family "Bacterial small subunit ribosomal RNA", at positions 524 to 776 of the family's 1533-position model. The record is from RNAcentral.
UACGAAGGGGGCUAGCGUUGUUCGGAAUUACUGGGCGUAAAGCGCGCGCAGGCGGUUCUUCAAGUCAGUGGUGAAAGCCCGGAGCUCAACUCCGGAAUUGCCAUUGAAACUGUAGAACUUGAGGAUGAGAGAGGUGAGUGGAAUUCCCAGUGUAGAGGUGAAAUUCGUAGAUAUUGGGAAGAACACCGGUGGCGAAGGCGGCUCACUGGCUCAUUUCUGACGCUCAGGCGCGAAAGCGUGGGGAGCGAACAGG